AUUGAACGCUGGCGGCAGGCCUAACCCAUGCAAGUCGAACGAGUGGCGUACGGGUGAGUAAUGUCUGGGAAACUGCCUGAUGGAGGGGGAUAACUACUGGAAACGGUAGCUAAUACCGCAUACCAUCGGAUGUUCCCAGAUGGGAUUAGCUAGUAGGUGGGGUAACGGCUCACCUAGGCGACGAUCCCUAGCUGGUCUGAGAGGAUGACCAGCCACGCUGUAACUGAGGCACGGUCCAGACUCCGACGUGAAGCAGCAGUGGGGAAUAUUGCACAAUGGGCGCAAGCCGAAUGCAGACAUGACGCGUGUAUGAAGAAGGCCUUCGGGUUGUAAAGUACUUUCAGCGGGGAGGCGUUACCCGCAGAAGAAGCACCGGCUAACUCCGUGCCAGCAGCCGCGGUAAUUC
Molecule: ribosomal RNA, 406 nt
Filed under: uncultured bacterium
Lineage: Bacteria
Description: partial 16S ribosomal RNA
Rfam family: Bacterial small subunit ribosomal RNA
Source: RNAcentral